GACGAACGCUGGCGGCGUGCUUAACACAUGCAAGUCGUACGGUAAGGCCCUUUCGGGGGUACACGAGUGGCGCACGGGUGAGUAACACGUGAGUAACCUGCCCACAACUUUGGGAUAACGCUAGGAAACUGGUGCUAAUACUGGAUAUGUGCUCCUGCUGCAUGGUGGGGGUUGGAAAGCUCCGGCGGUUGUGGAUGGACUCGCGGCCUAUCAGCUUGUUGGUGGGGUAGUGGCCUACCAAGGCGGCGACGGGUAGCCGGCCUGAGAGGGUGACCGGCCACAUUGGGACUGAGAUACGGCCCAGACCCCUACGGGAGGGCGCAGGGGGGAAUUUUGCAAAAUGGGCGCAAGCCGGAUGCAGCAACGCCGCGGGCGGGAUGACGGCCUUCGGGUUGUAAACCGCUUUCAGCAGGGACGAAGCUUUUUGUGACGGUACCGGCAGAAGAAGCACCGGCUAACUACGU
Molecule: ribosomal RNA, 464 nt
Filed under: uncultured bacterium
Lineage: Bacteria
Description: partial 16S ribosomal RNA
Rfam family: Bacterial small subunit ribosomal RNA
Source: RNAcentral